RNAcentral lists this ribosomal RNA (253 nucleotides) under uncultured bacterium. Its description in RNAcentral is "partial 16S ribosomal RNA". It matches the Rfam family "Bacterial small subunit ribosomal RNA", at positions 524 to 777 of the family's 1533-position model. The record is from RNAcentral.
UACGGAGGGGGCUAGCGUUGUUCGGAAUUACUGGGCGUAAAGCGCGCGUAGGCGGACCUGCAAGUCGGGGGUGAAAGCCCGAGGCUCAACCUCGGAAUUGCCUUCGAUACUGCGGGUCUCGAGUCCGGGAGAGGUGAGUGGAAUUCCUAGUGUAGAGGUGAAAUCGUAGAUAUUAGGAAGAACACCAGUGGCGAAGGCGGCUCACUGGCCCGGUACUGACGCUGAGGCGCGAAAGCGUGGGGAGCAAACAGGG